AAAAGCCAAAGUGAGCAUUAAACCUGAUCAACAUGUGUUCAGAGGAGACACAGUCACUCUCAGAUGUGACAUUGAUGGUGAAGGAGUCACUGGCUGGCGGUACAGCUGGUAUAAAGACGGUUCAAACAGUGUUUUCAGUGAACUACAGGAACACACAUUCAGUCCUGUUACUGAGUCUGACGCAGGUAAAUACUUCUGUUAUGGAGCAGAGAGAGGAGGAUCACGAACAUCAAACAUCGGUGAUGAAGUUACACUGACAGUAGAUACACCCCAGGCAGUUUUAAGUGUUUCUCCACAGAAGUGGUUGACUGAAGGAGAUCCAGUGACUCUGAUCUGUGAGGUUUACGGCUCCUCUACAGGCUGGACAUUCAGCUGGUACACUCUAACUGCUUCAUCAGACUACAGCAAUCGUUAUAACCUCCUCUCAGACAGCAGCAGGGGAGCUGGAGGAAACUAUACUUUCAGUUCUGCUGCUCUAAAACACAC
Molecule: long non-coding RNA, 486 nt
Organism: Sinocyclocheilus anshuiensis
Lineage: Eukaryota; Metazoa; Chordata; Actinopteri; Cypriniformes; Cyprinidae
Exons: 3
Source: RefSeq, a predicted model, not a curated record